This 245-nucleotide ribosomal RNA is filed under the name uncultured Prevotella sp. RNAcentral's name for it is "partial 16S ribosomal RNA". It matches the Rfam family "Bacterial small subunit ribosomal RNA", at positions 524 to 768 of the family's 1533-position model. Lineage: Bacteria; Pseudomonadati; Bacteroidota; Bacteroidia; Bacteroidales; Prevotellaceae. The record is from RNAcentral.
UACGGAAGGUCCGGGCGUUAUCCGGAUUUAUUGGGUUUAAAGGGAGCGCAGGCGGGCUAUUAAGCGUGACGUGAAAUGUAGAUGCUCAACAUCUGAACUGCGUCGCGAACUGGUUGCCUUGAGUGCAUUCGACGUCAGCGGAAUUUGUGGUGUAGCGGUGAAAUGCUUAGAUAUCACGAAGAACUCCGAUUGCGAAGGCAGCUGACGAGACUGUAACUGACGCUAAAGCUCGAAAGUGCGGGUAU